Molecule: RNA transcript, 391 nt
Organism: Andrographis paniculata
Lineage: Eukaryota; Viridiplantae; Streptophyta; Magnoliopsida; Lamiales; Acanthaceae
Gene name: ATP synthase small subunit 6, mitochondrial
Exons: 3
Source: RefSeq, a predicted model, not a curated record
GAUCCAUGGCCGGUGUUCUUCAAGCGGGAGUGGAAUCGCAACUGGCCUUUCCUUGUUGGAUUCGCUAUUACGGGAACUAUUAUCACCAAGUUCUCCCUUGGCCUAACUGAGGAGGACGUGAAGAACUCCAAAUUUGCGCAGCGGCACAAGUGAAAGGGGUUAGUGAGUGAUUUGGUUGCUGAUGCAUUGAUAGUUUCUUUGAUUUUCACUUUUUGCCGUAUCUCCUAGAUGAUAUAUCUAAAAUAAAUCUUGCGAACAUUUCAGCUGAAUCCGUAGUAUUUGUGAGUUGAUUUCAUUAAGUUGAGGUGUAUUCGUGAUGAAGAAAGAAAAUGCUCCUCAUUGUUAUUUGAACAUUUUGAUUGAAUGAAUGAUAUUGAACUGAUUUCGAACA